GACAGAGGGUGCAAACGUUGUUCGGAAUUACUGGGCGUAAAGAGCGUGUAGGCGGCUACAUAAGUCGGAUGUGAAAGCCCGUGGCUCAACUGCGGAAGAGCACCCGAAACUAUGUAGCUAGAGUCCCGGAGAGGAAGGUGGAAUGCUUGGUGUAGAGGUGAAAUUCGUAGAUAUCAAGCGGAACACCGGUGGCGAAGGCGGCCUUCUGGACGAGGACUGACGCUGAGACGCGAAAGCGUGGGGAGCAAACAGG
RNAcentral lists this ribosomal RNA (253 nucleotides) under uncultured bacterium. RNAcentral's name for it is "partial 16S ribosomal RNA". It matches the Rfam family "Bacterial small subunit ribosomal RNA", at positions 524 to 776 of the family's 1533-position model. The record is from RNAcentral.